Molecule: non-coding RNA, 65 nt
Organism: Dipodomys ordii (Ord's kangaroo rat)
Lineage: Eukaryota; Metazoa; Chordata; Mammalia; Rodentia; Heteromyidae
Source: Rfam
GGUGACUCAGUGGUAGAGUUCUUGCCUUGCAUGCAUGAGGCCCUGGGUUUGAUUCCUCAGCACCA